This 1364-nucleotide ribosomal RNA is filed under the name metagenome. RNAcentral describes it as "bacterial LSU rRNA". It matches the Rfam family "Bacterial large subunit ribosomal RNA", at positions 1537 to 2925 of the family's 2925-position model. The record is from RNAcentral.
CAAAACCGCAUGAAAAAUGUAAAGCGUUAUGUGGAUCGAACAUUAGUAGAGAAGCGUGUGAGCCAGCUGCCAAGAAAAGCCGCUAUUGCUUCAUAAGUACCCGUACCGUAAACCGACACAGGUGGAUGAGGAGAGAAUCCUAAGGCCGGCGGGAGAAGUGUUGUUAAGGAACUCGGCAAAAUGACUCCGUAACUUCGGGAGAAGGAGUGCCACAGAGAUGUGGCCGCAGAGAAAUGGCCCAAGCAACUGUUUAGCAAAAACACAGGUCUAUGCAAAACCGAAAGGUGAGGUAUAUGGGCUGACGCCUGCCCGGUGCUGGAAGGUUAAGAGGAGAGGUUAGAGCAAUCGAAGCUUUGAAUUUAAGCCCCAGUAAACGGCGGCCGUAACAAUAACGGUCCUAAGGUAGCGAAAUUCCUUGUCGGGUAAGUUCCGACCCGCACGAAAGGCGUAAUGAUUUGGGCACUGUCUCAACAACACACCCGGUGAAAUUGAAAUACCAGUGAAGAUGCUGGUUACCUGCGCCAGGACGGAAAGACCCCAUGGAGCUUUACUCCAGUUUGAUACUGGGAUUCGGUACUGUCUGUACAGGAUAGGUGGGAGGCUAGGAAAUGGUGACGCCAGUUGCCAUGGAGCCAACCUUGGGAUACCACCCUUACAGUACUGGGUUUCUAACCUGCAGCCGUAACCCGGCUGGGGGACAAUGUCUGACGGGGAGUUUGACUGGGGCGGUCGCCUCCGAAAGAGUAUCGGAGGCGCUCAAAGGUUCCCUCAGAACGGUUGGAAACCGUUCGAAGAGUGCAAAGGCAGAAGGGAGCUUGACUGCGACACCGACGGGUGGAGCAGAUACGAAAGUAGGACUUAGUGAUCCGGUGGUAUAAAGUGGGAUUGCCAUCGCUCAACGGAUAAAAGCUACCCUGGGAUAACAGGCUUAUCACUCCCAAGAGUUCACAUCGACGGAGUGGUUUGGCACCUUGAUGUCGGCUCAUCGCAUCCUGGAGCUGUAGCAGGUUCCAAGGGUUGGGCUGUUCGCCCAUUAAAGCGGUACGCGAGCUGGGUUCAGAACGUCGUGAGACAGUUCGGUCCCUAUCCGGCGUGGGCGUAGGAUAUUUGAGAGGAGCUGUCCUUAGUACGAGAGGACCGGGAUGGACAAACCUCUGGUGUAUCUGUUGUUUUACCAAAGGCAUGGCAGAGUAGCCAAGUUUGGCAGGGAUAAACGCUGAAGGCAUCUAAGCGUGAAGCCCCCCUCAAGAUAAGAUAUCCCAUCUUCGGAGUAAGACCCCUUGAAGACUACAAGGUUGAUAGGCUUUGUGUGUAAGUGCGGUAACGCACUCAGCUGAGAAGUACUAAUAGGUCGAGGACUUAUC